Rhineura floridana is the source of this 776-nucleotide long non-coding RNA. RefSeq lists it as uncharacterized. The transcript has 3 exons. The record is from RefSeq and is a predicted model, not a curated record. Lineage: Eukaryota; Metazoa; Chordata; Lepidosauria; Squamata; Rhineuridae.
UAGGCGUGAAAACUCCAGAAAGGUUUCAUCAUCUGCAAGACCUGGUUGGCUAAUUAAUUCCUGGCUGUUGCUGGGGGUUUCCCUGGGUUGCCAUAUUGAUCAAAAUGUGUCUUAUUUGAAAGGAGUGGAGCCAAGAAUGAGGACUGUAGUUUGAAGAGGAAAGGGCGGGUCAAGAGCCUGACUGACCUGGAGCUGGCCCUGUCAAGCAGAGAAUGCUGAAGAGCCCCCCCCCUGUUGAAUGUCACCUGCUUAUGCCACAUGCCCUGUCAUGUGUUCUCUAAACUAGCCUGUUGCCUCAGAAGUGGCGAAGGACCCUAUCCAGUCACUAACACUGAAGUAAAAUCCAGUCAGCUUCUGCACAUGGAAAGGGGAAUGAUACCAUAUUUUCCACAGGUGGCAAAAUGUCUUCAGCCAGCCCUGACCACCUUGUCUUGUACCAACCUGGCUGGUGCCUCAGAUCUGGUAAAGAGGCCCAUUAUGUCUAGGUUUAUUACUUCUGCUUAUAAGUGUUUGGGAAAAAAUGAACUUCAGGAAAAACUUCCUAACCGUUAGAGCGGUAUGACAAUGAAACUAAAUUAUCUAGGGAGGUGGUGGGCUCUCCCACACUGGAGGCAAUCAAGAGGCAGCUGGACAGCCACCUGUUGGGUAUGCUUUCAUUUGGAUUCCUGCACUGAGCAGAGGAUUGGACUCAAUGGCCUUAUCCAACUCUAUGAUUCAAUGAUUCCAUGAUUCUAUGAACGUGAUUCUGAAGGAAUGGACAAAUAAGUCAUCUCCAG